UACGUAGGGUCCAAGCGUUAUCCGGAAUUAUUGGGCGUAAAGAGCUCGUAGGCGGUCUGUCGCGUCGGCUGUGAAAACUCGGGGCUCAACUCCGAGCUUGCAGUCGAUACGGGCAGGCUAGAGUUCGGCAGGGGAGACUGGAAUUCCUGGUGUAGCGGUGAAAUGCGCAGAUAUCAGGAGGAACACCGGUGGCGAAGGCGGGUCUCUGGGCCGAUACUGACGCUGAGGAGCGAAAGCGUGGGGAGCUAACAGG
This 253-nucleotide ribosomal RNA is filed under the name uncultured bacterium. RNAcentral's name for it is "partial 16S ribosomal RNA". It matches the Rfam family "Bacterial small subunit ribosomal RNA", at positions 524 to 776 of the family's 1533-position model. The record is from RNAcentral.